UUAGAUUUUAUUUAUUAAUUUUGUUUAUUUGUAUUUAAAUUAUUAAAAAUAAUUAUAUAAUAAAAAGUUUUAGUAUUGUUUAAAGAAAAAAUAAAUUUAAUAAUAGUUUAAUAGUAUUGUAAAAGAAAAUUGAAAUAAUUUGAAAAAUUUUUAAAAUAAAAGAAAAUUUAAUUUAUUGUACCUUGUGUAUCAGCGUUUAUUAAAUAAAAAAUAAUUAAUUUAUUUUUCUCGAUUUUAAAAGAGUUAAUAUAAUAUAAAAGUUAAUGUGAUAAAAUUAUUUUAAAUAUUAUAUUAGAAAUGAAAUGUUAUUCGUUUUUAAAGGUAUCUAGUUUUUCAAGAAAUGAAUUUAAUUCAGAAAUUAUAAAUAUAUUUAAAAAAUUUUUUAAUUAAAUAAUUUAUAAUUUUAAUAUUUUAUGGGAUAAGCUAUAAAAUAAAUUUUUAAAAAUAAUAAAUAAAUUUAAUAAGUAUAUGCUUAGAAUUAGCAAUUACUUAUAAAUAUGUUAUAAUUUAUUUUAUAAAUAAAAUUAUUUAUUAUAUUUUAAAUAUUUAUUGAAAUAUUAAUUUUAAUUAAUAAAAUUAAGAAAUAAUGAUAAAAUUAGUAUAUAUUAUUGUAAAAAUAAAUUUAAAUGAAAAGUUUAUGUAAAG
RNAcentral lists this ribosomal RNA (645 nucleotides) under Drosophila multiciliata. RNAcentral describes it as "partial 16S ribosomal RNA". Lineage: Eukaryota; Metazoa; Arthropoda; Insecta; Diptera; Drosophilidae. The record is from RNAcentral.